GAUGAACGCUGGCGGCGUGCCUAAUACAUGCAAGUCGAGCGAACAGAUGAGGAGCUUGCUCCUCUGACGUUAGCGGCGGACGGGUGAGUAACACGUGGAUAACCUACCUAUAAGACUGGGAUAACUUCGGGAAACCGGAGCUAAUACCGGAUAAUAUAUUGAACCGCAUGGUUCAAUAGUGAAAGACGGUUUUGCUGUCACUUAUAGAUGGAUCCGCGCCGCAUUAGCUAGUUGGUAAGGUAACGGCUUACCAAGGCAACGAUGCGUAGCCGACCUGAGAGGGUGAUCGGCCACACUGGAACUGAGACACGGUCCAGACUCCUACGGGAGGCAGCAGUAGGGAAUCUUCCGCAAUGGGCGAAAGCAUGACGGAGCAACGCGGCGUGAGUGAUGAAGGUCUUCGGAUCGUAAAACUCUGUUAUUAGGGAAGAACAAAUGUGUAAGUAACUAUGCACGUCUUGACGGUACCUAAGCAGAAAGCAACGGCGAACUACGU
RNAcentral lists this ribosomal RNA (496 nucleotides) under uncultured bacterium. RNAcentral describes it as "partial 16S ribosomal RNA". It matches the Rfam family "Bacterial small subunit ribosomal RNA", at positions 28 to 506 of the family's 1533-position model. The record is from RNAcentral.